UUUCUCCGCGCUACGCGCGGAUAAUAUAUUUAAAUUUAUUACAUUUAUCAUUUUUAUUUGUAUGUGAAUUCUUGUAUAUUAAAUUAUAUAUAACUAAUUUUAAAUUUGAUUUUUUUAUAUUUUAAGUUUGAAGUAAGUAUUUCUAUUAUAUGUAACACAAUUAACUAAUAAAAUAUGAAGAAUCAAGUCCGAGAUUUUAGAGUUACGUAAAAAAUAUAUAAUUAUGUGUAGAACAUAAAUUACCGUAGUUUAAAAGAUCGAAAUCUCAUUUCAAAUAAAUUCACAAAAAGAAAAAGUACUUCAAUAACCUACUUAAAAUAUACAACCCCUUUUCAAAAAAACGUACUUAAUAAUAUUUUUUACGUGUAAUAGUUAAAAACUGAAAUAUGAAUAUCGAUCUAGAAUAUUAUUUUAAUAUAUCUAAUGGUAAAAUAUUAAUUGUAAUAAACAAAUUUUGAUAAAUCCUAAACACUAAACCUUAAACCCUAAACCCUUUGAUAAAUCCUAAACCCUUAGGUAAAAUAUAAAAAAUAAAUAAAAAAAUAGUAGCUGCUGUAAGAAAAGAAUUUUUUAAUGUUGUUAAAGCCGUUCAUACUAAACUCUAAACCCUAAACCCUAAACCCUAAACUCUAAACCCUUGGGUAAAUCCUAAACCCAUGGAUAAACUCAUAACCGUUGGAAUAUCUCUUUACCCAAGGGUUUAGGAUUUAUCCAAGGGUUUAGGGUUUCAUGUUUAGGGUUUAGGAUUUAGUGUUUAGUAUGAACAGCUUUAACAAUAUUAAAAAAAUCAUCUUUUAUUGUUAUUAUUCGUUUUUUAUGUAUUUUAUAUCCUUUUAUUUAAAAAAAAUAAAUUCUAAAAAUUUUGUUUCCUUUUUUGAAAAAAUUUGUAUAUAAAAUAACCAAUUUUCAUUGGUUGGUGAACCUAUAGAUUCACCUAGAGGGUGAACCCAAGAAUUUCUCUUAUUCUUUUCAGUCAUCUUUCUUCACUUGUUUUCCUUAAAAUGUUGACCAUCUCAUCUUGAUCUACUAUAUUUUUAAAGUGUUUAUUCUAUAUUAUAAAUGCUAGAGUUUGAAAACAAUAAAUCCCAUCAAACUAAUAAAUCUGUUUGAUUUUUUUGCAAUAACAACCGUUCAUGUUUUAAGAUAUUAGUUUGUUUCUGGGUAGAAAUAAGUAGGGAAAUCAUAUAGUUAAUUUUUGUUUGUUUGUUUUGGAAGUGAUUCCAUGUAGGGAGGUGCAUAAACACUUGAAAUAAAUAGAUACAGAUACCAGAUCAUAACCAAAGUUUAUGUAAAAAUUCUGUCUUAAACCUCUUUAUCAUAAAAUCAGAAAAGUAACGCCGUAGAAACCUAUAACACACAUGUUAAAAUUUUGAAAACAAAGCUCCAGGAACUCGUAUGUGAUAGCACGGUGACGUCUAAAUAAAAGUCCACUUCGAGAAGACGGAUGUGAUGCACUUGUAAAACUGGUCACAGUCACGAUUCGAAAUGCCUAGCUUGUUGGGAGGAAGAAAAAUAUGAUUAAAAUUCUUGAAAUCAUUAUUGGCAAAUUAGUCAAGGGCUAGAUAGUGUAUAGGCAAUAAUUCAGAACUGAAAGUUUGUAGGGCAUUAAUUUCUAUCCUUGGAGAGGCAUGGACGUCUUCAUUUUUUCCGCAAACUCCAUCAGUUAUCGUGUGGAGUUGGCAAUCGCUGACAGCACAGUUGAAGGUGCAUUCGUGUGUUUUGAUGGUGUGAUGACUAAGCUGCAUAACCUCCGAGCAAGUGAAGCCGGUCAGUGUUGGCUGAGGAAGGAGUAAAUCCUGAGGACUCUUAGGUGCCGCUGUUUAUCACAGACAUGGAAGGAAAAACAUUCACCUUCCAGGUCAGAGUUAGCACGUUUAACUUCACUGCACACCAUUAGACCUCACCAUCACCCGCAUCCUUAAGGAGCAUGAGCGUGUUCCAGUUCCUGACUUUGUCGUUAAGGGGAGAAACGAUGGUGAUGAUGCUGACAUGGCAGAUGGUGGUCCGGUUCCUGUUCGUGUUGAAACUGGAGAAGGCAGUAGUGAUGCAGAUAAGAAUACUGAUGCGAAACCAGGCGAUGCUUCGGCGAAGAAGAGGACCCACUCAUCUACCAAGAUGGCCAAGAAAGUGGAUACCAGCAGUUAUGGUUUCAUGUUCCAAGUUUAAAUACUUCUUAUUUAUCUGCAGUACUUUCGCAACUUUGAUUAUCUUUGUUUCAGUCAAUAAUAAAAAAACUAUUUCAAUUUAUUCCCUCUUAUAUAGUUUUUUCAAUUCUUUUAACUGAAAUAAAAGUGGAAAAUCCAUUAGAAUUGUGAUCGGAUCAGAUUGGGCAGGGUUUGAGUAAACUCCAUUCAUGCUACUCCUUUGCGUUUUUGGCUUUUGACGUUGAAAUCAUAACAAUACUAAAAGGAAACUUUUUGUCAUCCUAUAACUAACUUUUGAGUAAUGAUAUAAUAGAAUAUUUAAAUAAUUAGUUACUAUACAGACUUUCAGUAUUAUUCGAGUUAUCAUCUUACGUGACAUUCCAACCGAAAUACUCUGAUUUACUAAUUCCUAAUAUUUAGUUUUUUUUUUACUAUAUGUUUCGGUUUAGAUACAAAUGACUACGGAACAAGUAAAUUCAUUCACAAUCUUCCUAAGAUUAAGAAAAAUAAAGUUAUAAUUAUAUAACUAAAUUGGAAUUGUUGAUUUAUUAAAAUUUUAGUUGUUUUGUAACUAUUCAAAUUUCAAGAUUAAUUGGGAGACUAACGUAUGAAUAAUUCCACCCGGGUUUAAUUUUUAGAUUUUAUUUUAAAAUUAUUUUAAUACACAGGAGGAAUACAAGAAAAUGUUAGUAAGGAAUUUAUAAAAUACAAUCGAAUCGGAUCAGUUUGGGCACGGUUUGAGUAAACUACAUUCAUGCUACUCCUUUGAAUUCACUGCGCAACGUUAAUCAGGAUCAUGGCUUGGUGAUUGUCGAAGUGGAGAUUAUGACCGGACCAGAAGUUUUUUUUUUGUUUUUUUGAUAAAAAUGACCGGACCAGAAGUUGGUGAACGAAUAUUACUCCCUAGGAUACAGCUAAGCCCAACUGACAGCAUACAUCCUUUUAACUUCGUAGACGGCAAUACCCAAUCCGACUUAGCUAUGCCAUGACAAUAAAUAAAAGUCAAGGCCAAAGCCUAAAGCAAGUCAGCUUUAUAUCUUCCCCGGCCUGUAUUUACCCAUGGACAGUUUUAUGUUACCAUGUCUCGAUUGACAACACCAGAAGGCUUAAAAUAUUAGACGAAAGCUCCUAUAAAGACGGUGAGAAGCUGACUUGAGCAGGUCUUCUGUGUUUGAAGCUUCUUUGAGAGCCACUCUGGCUAGACUAAACUCCAGCUUGUCUAUUUCACUAUUUGGCACAAAUCUGGAUCAGAACCUGUCACAUUUGACAAGUGAACAAACAGCUGGAGAUUUGUCUAUGGCUGGAUGAGCUUCCCUGGAUGUGGCAGCUAUUCGGUUGGUUGAUGUUCCGGAGAAGGCUCGCAAACUCCUAAACCUGUUGGAACAGUCAAAAGAUCCAAGGUUCCACGUACUGCCUUUGGAAUCUCAGAGAGUAGCUGCGUCUGCGGACACAGUGAACAAACUUGUAUAUGACAUCCUCAUAUCAAAAGUCAGGCAAAGACUCGGGGAAGUAUCUUGCCUACCAAUCUGGUCUUCUGUGCAGGAACAAACUGUGUUUGCUCUACCAAACUUCAGCUCAUACCCUCAGGCUUACGUUACAAGCGUUGGAUAAUAUCUCCUGACUUUACCUCAGCAGCUUGAGCCUCUAGCUGAAGGAAUCUCAACCAAUGGUGAUUCAAACAACGAGGACGCACAGUUCUUUGCUACCGAGUGGAUGUUCAAGGUAGCAGAAGGCGCAACGGCUCUGUACAUGGAGCAACUGAGAGGAAUCCAAUACAUUUCAGACCGAGGAGCACAGCAACUGUGUGUAGAUAUAGAGUACUUGAGCAAUGUGCUUGCAGCCUUGUCCAUGCCGAUUCCGCCUGUGCUUGCAACUUUCCAGACGUGUUUGGCUACACCAAGAGAUGAGCUCAAAGAUGUGAUGAAAUCAGACGCUGGUAGUGAACUUGAUUUCCCUACGGCUAAUCUUGUUUGUAAGAUGCGUCGUAUCAGUUUCGAUUAGUCUCUGAACUCUCAAAAACAUGCUUUUGUGCCCUACGAAGAGGACCUGCUAACUAAUUUGUUCGGCUGGCCAUUGUCAUAUUUGUAUUACACAUUUCCAAGUUUUGAUGCUAUCAUAGGACAAGUUUCUUUGUUUUCUUAA
This is a long non-coding RNA of Brassica rapa (field mustard), 4286 nucleotides long. RefSeq lists it as uncharacterized. Lineage: Eukaryota; Viridiplantae; Streptophyta; Magnoliopsida; Brassicales; Brassicaceae. The record is from RefSeq and is a predicted model, not a curated record.